Molecule: long non-coding RNA, 7726 nt
Filed under: Malus domestica (apple)
Lineage: Eukaryota; Viridiplantae; Streptophyta; Magnoliopsida; Rosales; Rosaceae
Description: long non-coding RNA (MDOM_LNC006735)
Source: RNAcentral
CGGAAGAUCUGCCACUCAGAUUUUAAAUCCAUAACUUCCAGAGGUCCAUAAUAUAUCUCUAGGAUAACAUCCUAAAAUUUCACUACCAUCCAACGGUCGGAUCAUCAAUUCACAUUUUCACCUAAUGCGAAAACUAUAAAACGUUAUUCGAACACCUAACCAACAAUCCUGUUUCCACCAGGAUACAAAUUCAUACCCAAAACCAGGUAGUCGUCUCGACCCCCUUGUCAGAAGGAAGAUUCCUUUGACUUGCAUAAUCCGAAACUUCUUUUCCAAACGGUUAAACCGUCACUUCGUUCCCUCAGGUUCGUCAUUUCAUAAGGUGAUUCAAAUUCAACUCAUAACCCGUCUUAAAAUGUCCAUUUUGAUAAUAUACUGAAUCACCAUAAUAAUAGUUUCCCCUGAACCGCUAAAUCAGGGAGACUAAGUUCCUCUAACUACGUGGUUUGCUACGAGGCGGUGUAGUUCUGACAGAUUGGACAAAAUUAGGACUCACCUUCAGGUGUAUCAACUUAUAAAUUGUAUAAUUAAAGCUUCCGUACUGUGCAAAUGGUUACGUCACUCUCACGUGACGCCCAGCAUGCCCUCCUUCGGGACGGGGUGUGUCAGUUGGUAUCCAUCCCGAAGGAGGGCAUGCUGGCCGUCACGUGAGAGUGACGUAACCAUUUGCACAGUACGGAAGCUUUAAGAUACAAUUUAUAAGUUGCAUACAAGUGGUGAUGUCUUCAGAGUUGGCUAAGGUACUUAAUGUAUUUUGGGUUCGAUACGUUGUCACUAGGUGGCAGAGUCGUCUCGUGGAAUUCUGGUGCAACUAUUGAGAAUUAAAUUGGAUUCGACUUGAUAAGGAACCAAAGACGACUUUGGAUUGGAAAAAGAAGGUAAUGAGAAUGACAGUAUAAGUGGUAAAAGUUUUGUGAAGAAAUCAUUCAGUAGAAAAUUGUGUGGGAGAAAGAGAAUCGGAUGAGAGAGAUUUACCCGAAGUUAUUGUUGGAGUAUGGUUGAUUUAGUUGGUUGCUGGAAUUUCGGGGACGAAAUUCUAUAAGGAGGGAAGAUUGUCACAGCCCGUCCCGGAAUUAUACCAACUGACACACCCCGUCUCGAAAGAGGGCAUGCUGGCCGUCACGUGAGAGUGACGUAACCAUUUGCACAGUACGGAAGCUUUAAGAUACAAGUUAUAAGUUGAUACACCCGAAGGUGAGUCCUAAUUUUGUCCAUUCUGUCAGAACACCGUCGAAUUCCUCGUAGUCACCACACCUUUGUGAUUCCUGAACCUGGAGGGGCGCAAAACCAAAAUUGAGUGGGUCAGUAAAACAAUUCUUUUCCAAAUCCAAACAUUUCUCAAAACGUUGUAACCCCUCUCCGUAAAACCUGUAUACUUUCCCAGAAAUGUAAAAUAUAGAUAUACAUAUAUAUUCUCAAAACUUCAUUUUUACUAUCUCAACAUUUUUCUUUAUCAAUCAUGCCAUGCCAUGUCUAAUUCAACAGUUAAGUAUGGAUGCAUCAACAAUAAUCAUAUCAGGUGCAAGAAAGUAAUCAACCGGAGGCCCUCUAAUAGCCCUGUACGGUUGAAUCUAGAGCUCAAAAUCUAUCACUCUCACUCUGCCGGAGUCACCUCUGUGACCUGUCCGGCCUUCUGCACACAAGUUACGCUCUAGUGCUUUCUCAUCAAUCAUCUGUGCACAUAAUCUAAGGUCACCCACCAGUCGAAAUCUCACUAACACUCUACGACUGGCCCGUCGCACCCACUCCGCGUGGACUGUGCGACCAGCAUCUACUUGGAUCCAAGGCGAGCGUGCGAUGCGGUGAAUACUAUAAGCAUUAAACCAUGGUGCAUGAUUUGAGCUCAAUAUAUAUCAACAUCAUCAUAACAAUAUUUAAAUACUCACCUGAUACUCACCUGUGCGUCCGUCGCACCAAUUCAUACAUAUGCAUCAUAUAUCAAUUCAUAUCCUUUCAUGCAUGGCAAUUCGAUUCACGUUUUUCAUAUAAUUCUAUAUACUUUUCGCAUACUUCUAUGCAUGGCAUUUCAACUAAUAUAUCUCAUAUACUUUUAUACAUUUUCAUUUAAAGCAUAAUUUCAUGCAUUUUCAAUUUCUGGGAAAACGGCAAGUAUAAAUGUAUACGGAAAACAAAACUGCCCACUCACAGAAUACAUCGACGUGUCGAAGGUCCCUGAGCCUCCUUUAGCCAUGCCCAACGUCCGUAUAAUCCUCGCCUAUACGAGAAGUAACCAAAAUGACGUUAUUUAACGCAUAAUCCCACUCUUAGCUAAUAACUCCUCAUAUAUUGCUCAAAUUGGGUAUAUGAAUAUACCACUGUGACCUAAACAACCUCAGGAUCAUCCCCAUAUUUUUAAAAUAAUUUUUGGAGGUCCCACGCGCCCCCACGCGCCUGACGUGGCACGGACCUACGCGCCCCCACGCGCGGCCACGUGUCGUGCACACUGACGGCACAGUAAACGGCAGUUAGGGAAUAUUCCGUUAAAUCCUAGCAUAUUCCUUUAAUAAUUAACGGCGUCAGUCAACGCCGUUAGCAUAUUCCGUCAAAACUGACGGAAUAUUCCCUGUCUUCUCCGGCAAUUCGCCGGUCGCCGGCGACUGUUCGUCGGUUUCUGGAAAAAUUUCAAACUUGCUAUUCUCCUUCGUUUUUCAUCCAUUUUUCACGUAGUAUACCAAAUUGAAGCCCUAAACAUCUACUAUCACGUUGGACUAGUUUUAGGGUCUAAAAACAACGAGAUCAUACCUUUCCAAUAAUUCCAAAAUCCGGCCAAACUCGAACCAAGUGAUCCCGACGUCCAUUUUGUUCAAACGAGGCACUCCGAGCCUCCUCGUGACCUCCUUAAGCUCACUGUGAGCUUGUUUUAGCCUAAAACGUAGUCAUUUAAAAGAUCAUGAACAGUACAUAAACACGGGACCUUUGAAACUAGGGUUUUCCGAAGCAAAACUUACCUGAAAUGGAUACCAUCGUGAUCGUGGAGGUUCCAGGAGUUUGAUGGUGGUCUUAACUCCGUCGUUGGUGGAAGUUUAAGGUGGUUUUGUGGUGGUCCGUGUGAGUUCGAAGGAGAGGGAGAGAAAACUGAGAGUUUCGUGAGGGAGGAGAGAGAGAGAGACAAUGUUAGACUAUGGAUGAGUCUCCUCAAAAUAUUCAGGUAAGUAAGUUAACCUGAAAGUAGCCAGGAAUGACAAAAGAGACUAACAAAUGGAUAUGCCACUAAUCGAGUGUGUAAGGUAAAUGGUUUGAUAUUUUUGGAAAUUCACCACGAACAGAAAUGGCGAGAAUUGGAAAGGACAAGAUAAGAUUUAGACACAUCAGACCAUUUUUGAUCACUAAAGGAAUCAAUAAAGUUGCAUACAAGUGGUGAUGUCUUCAGAGUUGGCUAAGGUAUUUAAUGUAUUUUGGGUUCGAUACGUUGUCACUAGGUGGCAGAUUCGUCACAAGAGAUUCUGGUGCAACUAUUGAGAAUUAAAUUGGAUUCGACUUGAUAAGGAACCAAGGACGACUUUGGAUUGGAAAAAGAAGGUCCUGAGAAUUAAGACAGAGUAAGUAGUAAAAGCUUUGUGAAGGAAUCAUUCAGUAGAAAAUUAUGUGGGAGAAAGAGAAUCGGAUGAGACAGAUUUACCCGAAGCUAUUGUUGGAGUAUGGUUGAUUUAGUUGGUUGCUGGAAUUUCGGGGACGAAAUUCUAUAAGGAGGGAAGAUUGUCACAGCCCGUCCCGGAAUUUUAAUUCCGAGGACGUGAAAAGACGAAAAUGCCCUUAAACGGGACUAAGGGGCGAAAAUUUAACAAUUGGGAUUGAGUUGGACACGUGGGAUCCCCACACCCCUCAAUCCUCUCCCUAUUUUCUGCAUGCUGUCUCUCUCUCUCUUCCCUCACGACUCUCUCACUCUCUCUGUCACUCUUCUUCUCCGUUCGAACAAAACAACCUUAAACUUCCACCAACGACGGAGUUAAGACCACCAUCAAACUCCUGGAACCUCCACGAUCACGAUGGUAUCCAUUUCAGGUAAGUUUUGCUUCGGAAAACCCUAGUUUCAAAGUUCCCGUGAAAUGGUACUGUUCAUGAUCUUCUAAAUGACUACGUUUUAGGCUAAAAGAAGAUCACAGCGAGCUUAGUGAGGUCCCAAGGAAGCUCGGAGUGCUUCGUUGGAAGUUUUUGGACGUAAGAACACGGAGAUCGACAAGUUCAAAGUUUGGCCGGAGCUUUCGAGGCAUUUUCCGACGAAUACCCGGUGAUUUAGGAGUCGAGGUAGGUAUCAAUCUCUUCGUCUCGUCAAGUACUACAACUUUCCUUUUUGUUUCACUCAAUUUCGUUGAGUAUUGAAGAAGUUAUACUCAUUUGAAAAAUACCCAGUUUCCGGCGACCUCCGAGGCUUUCGAGGCAGUUUCCGGCAAAACCACGGCGAACUAGGUGUUGUGCAAGGUACCAUUCUCUUUUUCUCUUCAAGGGCUACCACUUUCGUUUUUGAAUCACUUGAUUUCGUUGAGAAAUAACAAAGUUAUGCAAUUUGAAAAACGGCCGCCGGAAAAACCAGUCCGGCGACCCAAGGAAGAAGAAGGUGCGCGUGGACCCGUGCCUUCCUUGGCGCGUGGAGGCGCGUGCUACAGUAAAAAAUUAUUUUAAAAAUAUGUCGACGUCCGUGACGUCGAGUAGAUCACUAUGGUAUAUUCAUAUACCCAAAUUGAGCACCGUAUGAGAAAGUUAUUAAGGAUUGUUGGUUAGGUGUUCGAAUAACGUUUUAUAGUUUUCGCAUUAGGUGAAAAUGUGAAUUGAUGAUCCGACCGUUGGAUGGUAGUGAAAUUUUAGGAUGUUAUCCUAGAGAUAUAUUGUGGACCUCUGGAAGUUAUGGAUUUAAAAUCUGAGUGGCAGAUCUUCCGGAUCGAUCAACGUAGUGACGUAUUUUAUAUAAGUUAUACAUUCUAUCGAUAUGAAUUCUGAGGUUGGAUUUGAUUACUGUUCUAGGCGGCGAUCGUCAUGACGCCUUGGCGUAUUGUGCUAGGGAGUUGUAGGGCGAACUCCAGGUGAGUGGGCAGUUUUGUUUUCCGUAUACAUAUAUACUUGCCGUUUCCCAGAAAUUACCAUGCAUGAAAUUAUGCUUUAAAUGAAAAUGUAUAAAAUUAUAUGAAAAGUAUAUUGAAAUGUGAAUUGAGAUGCCAUGCAUAAAAGUAUAUGAAAAGUAUAUAGAAAUGUGAAUCGAAUUGCCAUUCAUGAAAUGAUAUGAAAAGUAUGAAUUGAGAUAUGAUGCAUAUGAAUGAAUGGUGCGGCGGACGCACAGGUGAGUAUCAGGUGAGUAUUUAAUUACUGUUAUGAUGAUGUUGAUGUAUAUUGAGCUCAAAUCCUGCACCAUGGUUUAGUGCUUAUAGUAUUCACCGCAUCGCACGCUCGCCUUGGAUCCAAGUAGAUGCUGGUCGCACAGUCCACGCGGAGUGGGUGCGACGGGCCAGUCGUAGAGUGUUAGUGAGAUUUCGACUGGUGGGUGACCUUAGAUUAUGUGCACAGAUGAUUGAUGAGAAAGCACUAGAGCGUAAUAUUAACCAUUAAGUCGUACAGACUACAUUAGGUGGUUCCGACUUAUGUGCAGAAGGCCGUACAGGUCACAGAGGUGACUCCGGCAGAGUGAGAGUGAUAGAUUUUGAGCUCUAGGUUCAACCGUACAGGGCUACUAGAGGGCCUCCGGUUGAUUACUUUCUUGCACCUGAUAUGAUUAUUGUUGAUGCAUCCAUACUUAACUGUUGAAUUAGACAUGGCAUGGCAUGAUUGAUAAAGAAAAAUGUUGAGAUAGUAAAAAUGAAGUUUUGAGAAUAUAUAUGUAUAUUUAUAUUUUACAUUUCUGGGAAAGUAUACAAGUUUUACGGAGAGGGGUUACAACGUUUUGAGAAAUGUUUGGAUUUGGAAAAGAAUUGUUUUACUGACCCACUCAAUUUUGGUUUUGUGCCCCUCCAGGUUCAGGAAUCACAAAGGUGUGGUGACUACGAGGAAUUCGACGGUGUUCUGACAGAAUGGACAAAAUUAGGACUCACCUUCGGGUGUAUCAACUUAUAAAUUGUAUAAUUAAAGCUUCCGUACUGUGCAAAUGGUUACGUCACUCUCACGUGACGGCCAGCAUGCCCUCCUUCAGGACGGGGUGUGUCAGUUGGUAUCACUGACACACCCCGUCCCGAAGGAGGGCAUGCUGGCCGUCACGUGAGAGUGACGUAACCAUUUGCACAGUACGGAAGCUUUAAUUAUACAAUUUAUAAGUUGAUACACCCGAAGGUGAGUCCUAAUUUUGUGAAUUCUGUCAGAAUACCGUUGGAUUCCUCGUGGCCACCAAAACUCUGCUAUCAAGAACCUGGAGGGGCGAAAAACAAAAUUGAGUGGGUCAGUAAAACAAAUCUUUUCCAAAUCCAAACAUUUCCCAAAACGUUGUAACCCCUCUCCGUAAAACUUGUAUACUUUCCCAGAAAUGUAAAAUAUAAAUAUAUAUAUAUAUAUUCUCAAAACUUCAAAUCACUAUCUCAACAUUUUUCAUUACAAUUAUGCCAUGCCAUGUCUAAAUUCAACAGUAUAAUAUGAAUGCAUCAACAUAAAUCAGGUGAAAGAAAAUAAUCAACCGGAGACCCUACAAUGGUCCUGUACGGCUGAAUCUAGAGCUCAAAAUCUCGUCUAACCGGAGUCACCAACUGUGACCUGUACGGCCAUGCCGGAGUCACCUAGUAUGACCUGUACGACAUUACACUGCACAUAAGUCGGAACCACCUAAUGUAGUCUGUAUGACUUAAUGGUUAAUAUUACGCUCUAGUGCUUCUCUCAUCAAUCAUCUGUGCACAUAAUCUAAGGUCACCUACCAGUCGGAACCCCUCUAAUGGUCUGUACGACUGGCAUGUCGGAACCACCCAGUGGUUUGUACGACUAGCAUCUACUUGGAUCCAAGGUGAGCGUGCGAUGCAGGGUGAAUAAUAUAAGCACUAAUACCAAGGUGCAGGUUAUGAGCUCAUCAUAUCUCAACAUCAUCAUAACAAUAAUAAAUACUCACCUGUGCGUCCACCGCACCAAUUCAUACAUAUGCAUCAUAUAUCAAUUCAUACUUUUCAUAUAAUUUCAUGCAUGGCAAUUCGAUUCACAUUUCAAUCUACUUUUCAUAUACUUUCAUGCAUGGCAUUUCAAAUCAUACUUUCAUUAAAUUUCAAUUUCUGGGAAAACGUCAAGUAUAUAUAUAUACGGAAAACAAAACUGCCCACUCACCUGGAGUUCGCCCUACAACUCCCUAGCACAAUACGCCAAGGCGUCAUGACGAUCGGCGCCUAAAACAAUAAUCAAUUCCAAUCCUCAGAAUUCAUAGUGAUAGAAUAUAUAACUUAUAUAAAAUACGUCACUACGUAGUUCGAUCCUGAAGAUCCGCCACUCAGAUUUUAAAUCCAUAACAUCCAGAGGUCCCCAAUAUAUCUCUAGGACAACAUCCUAAAAUUUCAUCACCAUCCAACGGUCGGAUCUCCGUCAAUUAACAAAACUAAGUGACGGUUUACAUUCUAUUUUAUGAACUUACAACUCCAAUUCCGGAAGAUCCGUAAAUCGGAUUCCCAAUCCGUAAGUUCCUAUAAUCCUCAAAUAUUACGUAUUGCAACGUAUCAAAGUUUAGUGAUGAUCCAACGGUCGGAUCGUCAAUUCAUAUUUUCACCUAAAUGCAAAAACUAUAAAACGUUAUUUGAACACCUAACCAACAAUCCUUAAUAACUUUCUCAUACGGUGC